Molecule: ribosomal RNA, 96 nt
Filed under: Salmo salar (Atlantic salmon)
Lineage: Eukaryota; Metazoa; Chordata; Actinopteri; Salmoniformes; Salmonidae
Source: RNAcentral
GCUUGUGGCCAUACCACCUGGAACACGCCUGUUCAAGGUCCGGCAUGGUUUGUACUGGGACGGGAGACCACCUGGGAAUACCAGCUGCCGUAAGCU